RNAcentral lists this small RNA (1719 nucleotides) under Pongo abelii (Sumatran orangutan). Its description in RNAcentral is "retained intron". Lineage: Eukaryota; Metazoa; Chordata; Mammalia; Primates; Hominidae. The record is from RNAcentral.
UUUCUCCUGCUUCCUCUUAUUAAUGAACGAGUAUUUGCAUACCAAAACAUUUGCAGAGAAGAGAUUCAGACAGGACUAGGUGGCUUUAUUGGUGGUGGUGAGGUUGUGGGGUGGGGGUAUUUUUCUUGGAGCUUGGUGUAUUCCUGAAUCCAUCAGAUGUUGGUGUCCGCGUGGAUGACUAGGAAAAGGGGAUUGGAGAUUAGGUUUCUUCUAUUUGGAGUUCUCUGCUGCUUGUUUGAGCUUAAUAAGCCUCCUGAAGAAGUUGAAACAAUUUAUUGCUAGAGGAGCCCCAAUGUAUAAUCUCCCUUUCAUUCUCUACUGUGGAGAGGUGUGCUAAACCUGUAGAGCUCUCUUUUCUGGAGGCUGCCCACAUUCCUUGGCUUAUGGCCCCCUUCUUCCAACGUCAAAGCCAGCAACAUUGCAGCAAUCUGACUUAUUUUGUUGUCACAUCUCCUGACCACACCUGGAAGGGUUAUCUACUUUUGAAGACACAUCCAGAUAAUUCAGGACAGUCUCUCCAUUUUGAGGUUCUUCAUUGAAUCAUGUCUGCAAAGUCCCUUCUGCAAUCUAAGUAAGAAAAAUCACCAAGAAUAUUAUUUUUGGUAUUUGGAAUUGAAUUUGCCAGGAAUGCAAGCACUGCUACCUAACUAAAGACCUUGGCUUUGGAAACAUCUUACCCCUUGGCAGCUCUCCAGAGUUUAGACUUGGCAGCAUCAAAGACACAACUCAAGGUGUGUUUAUUUGAUUUAACAUUUUGCAAAAGGUGUUUUGAUUUGUGGUUUGUUUUCUUUCACUUUGUACUUAUUGCUUUGGGUUGUUUUCUUCUGGCAAUGAACCUGGGUUCCAAGCAUAGGUUUUUCUUAUGGAAGGCAGUAUUACAAUAAGGAAAUGUUUUUACUUGUAUUUAUUUUGUGAUAUUUCAGCAAAUCCAAAUAAAUGAAGUAACAUUUAUAAAGGUAUACAUUUAUAACUGAUUUAUUUGUUAAAUGUUUAGUAUUAUCAAUUGUCUAUUAAAGAUUUGUUGCUACAUUAAAUGCUUGGUCUGUCUUGAUGUUCAGUAUAUUAUUAUACUUUGGUAUAUUGCAAUAUUUUGGUAAUUUAUUGGUUUUAGUCACUGUUCCUGCAUAUUAAGUAAUAAACAGAUUAAUAUCAUCAUAAAAUAUCAUUUACUCAGCAAUAUUUCUUAGUAAAUUGAUACAUCCAUUUUUCUCAUGUAUUGUGGAGAGAGGAAAUAUUACAUAAAAUGGAAGAAUAUGGGCCUGUGUUUAUCUCUGACCUCAUCGCUUACUGUUCUUUCCCACUCCUCACUCUACUCAAAGCCUUUGAAUAGCUCUCCAUUUUACUCAACAUCAAAUCUAAAUAAAGCUUUUAAACUGUUCUAAAUGUCUCUACAGUACUUGAACCUUUGUUACUUCUCUAAUUUCAUGUCUAACUCUGCUCAUCGUCAUUCUCUUGCCCUGGGCAUACUGCCUCCCUUUUUGUUCUCUGAACAUGCCAGGCAUUUUCUCAUCUCAGAAUUUUUGCACUUGCUAUUUUUUCUACUGAAUUGCUCUUCAUCCAUAUAUAGCAAUUGUAUGACCAAUUUCCUUACUUUUCUUUUGGUCGUUAUUAAAAGUUCACCUUCUAAAUAGAGUCUUACCUGAUGACCAUCCAAAGCUUUAUAUUCUUUCUUUGCUCUAUAAUUUUUAUCACUCUCUAUUAAACUAUAUGUUUACACUU